GCUGGGUGUGGUGGCAUGCACCUGUAGUCCCAGCUACUCGGGAGGCUGAGAUGGGAGGGUCACUUGAGCCCAGGAGGUCAAGGCUGCAGUGAACUAUGACUGCACCACUGCACCCCAGCCUGGGUGACACAGUGAGACCCUGUCUCAC
RNAcentral lists this non-coding RNA (148 nucleotides) under Gorilla gorilla gorilla (western lowland gorilla). The record is from Rfam by way of RNAcentral. Lineage: Eukaryota; Metazoa; Chordata; Mammalia; Primates; Hominidae.